RNAcentral lists this ribosomal RNA (269 nucleotides) under uncultured prokaryote. RNAcentral's name for it is "partial 16S ribosomal RNA". It matches the Rfam family "Archaeal small subunit ribosomal RNA", at positions 474 to 743 of the family's 1478-position model. The record is from RNAcentral.
UACCAGCUCCCCGAGUGGUGGGGAUGAUUAUUGGGCCUAAAGCGUUCGUAGCUUGCUCAAAAAGUCUUCUGUUAAAUCCAGCGACCUAAUCGUUGGUCUGCAAAAGAUACUUUUGGGCUAGAGGGCGGAAGAAGCCGACGGUACUCUUGGGGUAGGGGUGAAAUCCUAUAAUCCUAAGAGGACCACCAGUGGCGAAGGCGGUCGGCUAGAACGCGCCUGACGGUGAGGGACGAAAGCUGGGGGAGCGAUCCGGAUUAGAUACCCCAGUA